GCAGUCGUACGAGGAAUGGAGUGCUUGCACUCUAUAGCCGAGUGGCGAACGGGUGAGUAACACGUGACCAACCUGUCUUCAGGAGAGGGACAACCUGGGGAAACCCGGGCUAAUACCGCAUAAUGUCUUUUCUUCUCAUGGAGGUUAGACCAAAGAGGGCCUCUACUUGUAAGCUCUCGCCUGAUGAGGGGGUCGCGGCGUAUCAGCUUGUUGGUGAGGUAACGGCUCACCAAGGCUACGACGCGUAGCGGGUCUGAGAGGACGAUCCGCCACAUUGGGACUGAGAUACGGCCCAGAUUCCUACGGGAGGCAGCAGUGGGGAAUAUUGCGCAAUGGGCGAAAGCCUGACGCAGCGACGCCGCGUGUGGGAGGAAGCCCUUCGGGGUGUAAACCACUGUCAGGGGGGAAGAAACUCGUUCAUCCGAAUAGGGUGGGCGAUUGACGGUACCUCCAAAGGAAGCGCCGGCUAACUCCGUGCCAGCAGCCGCGGUAAGACGGAGGGCGCAAGCGUUGUUCGGAAUUACUGGGCGUAAAGCGCACGCAGGCGGUCUCUUAAGUCCUUUGUGAAAGCCCGGAGCUCAACUCCGGAACUGCAGAGGAUACUGG
This 606-nucleotide ribosomal RNA is filed under the name uncultured bacterium. RNAcentral's name for it is "bacterial SSU rRNA". It matches the Rfam family "Bacterial small subunit ribosomal RNA", at positions 57 to 636 of the family's 1533-position model. The record is from RNAcentral.